GCCGCUUUAGCUCAGUCGGUAGAGCAUCUCACUCGUAAUGAGAAGGUCGCGAGUUCGAUUCUCGCAAGCGGCUCCA
This 76-nucleotide transfer RNA is filed under the name Corynebacterium callunae. RNAcentral's name for it is "tRNA-Thr". It matches the Rfam family "tRNA". From Rfam's summary of the family: Transfer RNA (tRNA) molecules are approximately 80 nucleotides in length. Their secondary structure includes four short double-helical elements and three loops (D, anti-codon, and T loops). Further hydrogen bonds mediate the characteristic L-shaped molecular structure. tRNAs have two regions of fundamental functional importance: the anti-codon, which is responsible for specific mRNA codon recognition, and the 3' end, to which the tRNAs corresponding amino acid is attached (by aminoacyl-tRNA synthetases). tRNAs cope with the degeneracy of the genetic code in two manners: having more than one tRNA (with a specific anti-codon) for a particular amino acid; and 'wobble' base-pairing, i.e. permitting non-standard base-pairing at the 3rd anti-codon position. RNAcentral also lists the same sequence under 1 other name. The record is from RNAcentral. Lineage: Bacteria; Bacillati; Actinomycetota; Actinomycetes; Mycobacteriales; Corynebacteriaceae.